GCGCGAUUAGCUCAGCGGGAGAGCACUACCUUGACACGGUAGGGGUCACUGGUUCAAUCCCAGUAUCGCGCACCU
Molecule: transfer RNA, 75 nt
Filed under: Saccharothrix sp. ST-888
Lineage: Bacteria; Bacillati; Actinomycetota; Actinomycetes; Pseudonocardiales; Pseudonocardiaceae
Description: tRNA-Val
Rfam family: tRNA
About the family: Transfer RNA (tRNA) molecules are approximately 80 nucleotides in length. Their secondary structure includes four short double-helical elements and three loops (D, anti-codon, and T loops). Further hydrogen bonds mediate the characteristic L-shaped molecular structure. tRNAs have two regions of fundamental functional importance: the anti-codon, which is responsible for specific mRNA codon recognition, and the 3' end, to which the tRNAs corresponding amino acid is attached (by aminoacyl-tRNA synthetases). tRNAs cope with the degeneracy of the genetic code in two manners: having more than one tRNA (with a specific anti-codon) for a particular amino acid; and 'wobble' base-pairing, i.e. permitting non-standard base-pairing at the 3rd anti-codon position.
Source: RNAcentral